RNAcentral lists this ribosomal RNA (504 nucleotides) under uncultured bacterium. Its description in RNAcentral is "bacterial SSU rRNA". It matches the Rfam family "Bacterial small subunit ribosomal RNA", at positions 107 to 607 of the family's 1533-position model. The record is from RNAcentral.
UGAGUAAUGUCUGGGAAACUGCCCGAUGGAGGGGGAUAACUACUGGAAACGGUAGCUAAUACCGCAUAACGUCUUCGGACCAAAGUGGGGGACCUUCGGGCCUCAUGCCAUCAGAUGUGCCCAGAUGGGAUUAGCUAGUAGGUGGGGUAACGGCUCACCUAGGCGACGAUCCCUAGCUGGUCUGAGAGGAUGACCAGCCACACUGGAACUGAGACACGGUCCAGACUCCUACGGGAGGCAGCAGUGGGGAAUAUUGCACAAUGGGCGCAAGCCUGAUGCAGCCAUGCCGCGUGUAUGAAGAAGGCCUUCGGGUUGUAAAGUACUUUCAGCGAGGAGGAAGGCGUUAAGGUUAAUAACCUUAGCGAUUGACGUUACUCGCAGAAGAAGCACCGGCUAACUCCGUGCCAGCAGCCGCGGUAAUACGGAGGGUGCAAGCGUUAAUCGGAAUUACUGGGCGUAAAGCGCACGCAGGCGGUCUGUCAAGUCGGAUGUGAAAUCCCCGGG